Molecule: ribosomal RNA, 394 nt
Filed under: Excirolana chiltoni
Lineage: Eukaryota; Metazoa; Arthropoda; Malacostraca; Isopoda; Cirolanidae
Description: partial 12S ribosomal RNA
Source: RNAcentral
GGGGGGGGGUGAAAUCCCCCCCGGUGGGUGGUGGACCCCUUUAAAAAAACCCCUUGAGAUAUACCGGGAUUAGAUACCCCGUAUACAAAGGUGACUAGGGAGGGGGGUAGUAACGGUUAUGGACCCCAAACCCAAAGAACUUGGGGGCAGCCUAUCCAGCUAGAGGAGCCUGCCCCGUGACCGAUACCACCCGAUAACCCCAACCCCCCGCAUGUCUGUAUACCGCCGUCUAACCUCUAGCCACAAGGUUGAGGUGGAUGGGCCCCCCCCCAAGACAGGUCUAGGUGCAAUGUAUCGGGGGGAGGCGGUGGGUUACAUUCCUUAUGGGGGGGACCCCCCCCCCAGGGGGGGGGGAAAAAGGGAUUUAUGUUUGCGGGGGGGUUGGAUGCCUUUU